Molecule: long non-coding RNA, 228 nt
Filed under: Trifolium pratense (red clover)
Lineage: Eukaryota; Viridiplantae; Streptophyta; Magnoliopsida; Fabales; Fabaceae
Description: long non-coding RNA (TPRA_LNC005763)
Source: RNAcentral
UCAUUUCAUUUCUUAUUAACACCAGACGAGAAAUAUAAAACAAAAACCAAGGAAAUGCAUAAUAAAUAGGCUCAAAUCUCACAUUUAGAAGUUAGUUCACAAAAAGAUAGUCAACAUAGCACAUUAUGCUAAUUAUUAGCUUUCAAAAGACAACCCCAUUAUCAACAUUGAACAAGUCUGUCAAAGAAAAUUUUCAAGGGUACCUCAAAGACAUAAUCUCUAUUUUUA